UCUUGGUCCUUUGAUUUUAAUCUUUUGGAUCUUAGCUUUAUGAUUUUUUAUCUUCUCUAUGCGUUCACCAAAUGUCAAUGCUUUGAAUAUCAUUUUUCUUUAAUUUUGGUCAACCAAGAUGAUUCAUAUCUGGAUAGCUACAUCAGUACCAUUGGUGUUGACUUUGUGAGUAUCGUCUUCAUACUUUUUUCUCUCUUUCUAUAUUAAGCAUAAAAUAAACAAACUUUUGCCUAGUAAAAAAUCACUUAAAGCUUCUAUGCAUGUUAUUGACAAAGAUAUUUCAUUCCUGUAAGACUCAAAUCCCAUUACAAGUUUCUUAUUGCCAUAAUAAGCGUUAUUUAUAAGGAUCAAUUGCUAAAGGCUACUUGGUAGAGGAGUGUAUGACUUUCCGUUCUAGAUAUUUGGAAGAUGUUGAAACAAGACUGAAUAGGCCAAGUAGACAUGCUGGGUUUACUGAUCAUAACUUGGCCGAAACUUAUUUAUUUCAAAGUUAUGGAGAAUUAAUCGGCAAAGUUGAAAUUGCAGAAUUAGAUGAUAGAUCGUGGGUACAAGCACAUUGAUAUGUUCUUUUUCACCACGAUUCAAUGGAAUCAUUACGCAAUGAGUACAAAUAAAUAUUGAGAUCUCAUUCACGCUCCCGAAGAUUACAACAUCGAGAGAUUAAUAAGUUAUUUACAGAAUCUUUUCAUGAAUGGUUAAGCCAAACGGUUUGGAGUCGGAAGGACGUCGAUGACGAAGUUAAAUGGCUUUCCCAAGGUCCGAAUAGAAUAGAAAAAAGAUAUAGUGCCUUCCUCAUCAACAGAUUCAGAUUUCAUACAAAAUAUCGUGAGAGAUUAAGGAGAACUCAAAAUUGUGGAAUAGUUGUUAAUUCUUCAAUUACAAGUUAUGCUAGUGCUAGGGAAAUGUGGAGUAUUAUGAACUUCUUACUGACAUAAUUGAGCUGGAUUACUAUGGCAAAUGGAAAUUUGUCUUAUUUCGAUGUGAUUGGGCUGAUGUUAAUACUGCUCGCGAAAUUAAACAAGAACAAUUGGUUUUACAAUGGUGAACUUCUCUCGAUUGAUUCACACUGGACAACAAUUGAUAGAUGAGCCGUAUGUAUUUUCUUCUCAAGUGAAACAAGUUUUUUACUCAAAAGAUCCAACUGAUGAGGGUUGGUACGUUGUACUCCGUAACAUCCCUAGAGACUUGUUUGACAUGGGCAAUGGGAGUAGAGAUGGCAUCGACGAUAGAUCAGAAACUUUGUCUUUUCUAGAACAAAACUUAAAUGAAAAUAUCCCUAGUACUAGUACACAAUUUCAAUGGGUUCGCCAGGAUGUUGAUGAAGAUAUUUAUGAAUUAUGAUGUAGUAAGAUUUUAGGAUUUUUUAAUUAUAUGUAAUAUCAUAAUUUAAAUCUUGGUCUUAUUAAAUAUUUCAACUAUUUUAUAUGUACUGUUAUUGUUGUAAUUAGUUACUAAAUUUUCAACUAUUUUAUGUGUAUUGUAGAUAAAAUGCCUAGAAGAAGAUUGCGAGAUCUAAGUAUUGUUCAAAAUACUCCUAACUCGGAAGAAACAAAUAGUGAACAACAGACUGCUAUUGGAUCUUCGAAUGUUUCGAAUACACCUAACGAAACUGCAGAAAUUCAAACUAAAAGUGGUGGGAUGCACAAAGGUCGAGGACGUACGCUACUUAAAGAUUUAUACAAGUUAAAUCCUGUUGAGCGUGUCAAAGUAUGUAGAAACAAUUUUGGUUAGCCUGUUGGAUCAGAAGCUCGACUUUUAGCAAUAUAUUUAGGCAUUAUAGCACGAAAUGCCAAUAUGUUGCCUAUCAACUACGAGUCAUGGCAUCAAAUGCCUGAUAGUAACAAAAAUCAAGCUCUCGAUAAUAUUUAGGAGAGGUUUGCUUUAGAGGUCUCGGAUAAUUAUGUCAAGAAGGCAUUGGGAAAAAGAUGGAGAAACCAUAAAAGUACUUUAAAGAAAGAAUGUUUUAAGACAAAAACAACCCUCGAAGAGAAAUUACGAAAUGUCCCGCUGGGAAUGCUGAGGAUCGUGAACGAGUUGGAACAAGCAACGGGCAAAAACAAAAAUUCACUCACACAACUGGGUCGAAAAGUUUUGCUUGUGUAGCUGAGGACGAGGAACUGUCGUCUGGUCAAAAAGUUGGACGCCUUCAUCUUUUUGACAUUACACAUAGGAAGAAAUAUAGAUCUCCUAUGACUUCUGAAGCUGCAUAAAUUAUGGAUAAACUAAAGGAUAAAAAGGCGGAGUAUCAAGCGGUUGCUUCGAGUGAUAAUUCUGUUAAUCUUGACGACAUUGAUAACUGGAUUAUUACUGAAGUUUUGGGUCCUGAAAGGUAUGGUCGAGUUCGAUUUCAAGGAUCUUUUGUUAACCCAACCCAAUAUUUUAGAUCCAGCUCACAACAAUACAUGCCUUCGGGGAGUCAGACUCAAGCUGAAGUUCAGAGGUUAAGAGACCAGAUGGCACAGAUGCAAGCGAGCACAGAUGAGUGAAUUGCUCAACUUAAAGUGGAAGCUGAAAGAAAAUAUGAAGAACUCCAGCUACAACUUAAAGUAGAGGCAGCAGCGAGGGAAGCAAAGCAGAGCAAAAAGUACGACGCACUCCAGCUACAGCUUCAGAAUAUGAUGAAGAUGUUUCAGCAGUCGUAAAAUCUGCCAUCUUAGACUUGUAUGAAUAUUUUUAACAUUUUAACUUUUAACAUUACUGUAAGAAUAAUUUGAAUUAUACUCCAGUUAUCAAUUUAUAUCAUAUAUCUUUCGUUGAA
This is a long non-coding RNA of Gossypium raimondii (Peruvian cotton), 2758 nucleotides long. RefSeq lists it as uncharacterized. Lineage: Eukaryota; Viridiplantae; Streptophyta; Magnoliopsida; Malvales; Malvaceae. The record is from RefSeq and is a predicted model, not a curated record. The transcript is spliced from 8 exons.